This 4810-nucleotide long non-coding RNA is filed under the name Lotus japonicus. RNAcentral describes it as "long non-coding RNA (LJAP_LNC001743)". Lineage: Eukaryota; Viridiplantae; Streptophyta; Magnoliopsida; Fabales; Fabaceae. The record is from RNAcentral.
UGGUUUAUGUUGUUCAGGUGAAAAAUCCUACCCGAGAUUUUACUUUUUGUCGUCAUAGUGUGUUGAACUUCUUUUUGGAGGCUGUGGAUGUUGCAUGCAGCCUGUUUCCUUCCAUCUUUCAUCUUGUAUUUCAUAGCUUACGUAGAAACUAGAAUUUAAAGUAUGCUAAGUAUGUCAGUCAACACAUUCAAGCAGCUAGAAGGGUACAAGCUAUAGCUGUCGUGGGUUAACCCACCUCAUCCACAUCCCUUGUAGAAAUCGUGCAGCUUUUCUGUCUGUAUCCAUUUCUGAUAGGAGCUCCAAGAUCCACCAUGUCAUUGCUUUGUCGGAUCUUACUAAAGUUGAACCCCUCCAUUUUUCCACAAGUUUCUCCCCAACCUCAGAGAACUGUUAGCAUUCAAUGCUUGUGCUUAGUCUCACUCUCAGAUCUAUUAUAUUACAAGUUGUUAACAGAAAUAGGUGGUUCGUCUUUGAUUCACAUGAAUAAUUCUAGUUGCUUCAGAUCCAUGUUAAAAAUAUCUGUUAGGUAACAGCUUCUCUAUGGAAGAUUCACUUGCACUGGUGGAUAUGAUGGCAAGGCUGCUGGGAUAAAGAAAGAGAAGCAAGACCAAAUUGAGCAGAGGUGAAGAACUGCCGAAUUGCCUUCCAAUAAGGGAAGAAAGAAAACUCACUGCAAUGACCACAAGUCAAUCCUGAAUCUACCAGUUGAGAAAACCAUUGUGAUUUGUGAAUCUGCGAUCCACCUCUAGAUUCAAGAGGAAGUCUGUGGAGCAUAAGAACAUGACCCUCCAACAUAAGUUGGUCCAAAAAUAAUAGAAUCACCAUGAAUGUUAGUUCAAAGCCUUCAAUUCAUGUGCCCGAAGAGGAGGGAAAAAGCAGAAUUAGAAAAAUAAUGUAGAACCUCUGACUGGAAACCACAAGCCCAAACCUGAAAUUCAUGCAAAUAAGUGAAACACACCAAAAGGAAUAAACAAAAAAGAGGUACCAGAUCACACCAAAAGACUAAGACAACCAUGCUGGUGAAGUCGCUGGACCUUUGGUCACUGAGGCUACUGCCUGACCAUUGUUUGCACUUGUCUGUGUUGGAAUUAGUCACCAACCACCAACAGUAAUCUGCAGUUGAUCUCCAUUUUGCGACCAUCCCUCCUCCUGAUGCCACUCAACCAUGAGCGGCCGAUCACUGAAACAACCCCUGCUGACAGCCUUAAACUUUAAAUGGCCUUCAAACAUGAAUGAUCUGUCAAGGUGUUUUUUGGGUCAAAAUACAUAGAAGUUACUAAAGAGUGCUCAGAAGAAACAAAAAAGGGGAAUAUAAAAGAAUUCUAUGGACCUCAAUGCUGGAGAAAGGAAAUACAUUGAAGAUGGAUGGUAUUUGAUAUCAUGUCAAAUAAUUAUUUAGUUAGGGUUACAGAAGAAGAGAAAGGUGGUGAACUGAGAUACUAACUGAUGAAUGUAACAUGUUCCAUUAUCUUAGCCUAAUACUCAUAUACUAAUACUACCAUUGUUUUUAGUGGCGGAUGAUGGAUUAUGGUGGAAAGCCAAAAACAGGCCAUAUUUGACAAAUACUGAUGGCGUAUGGUGGAAUAUCGGCCAUGGAGGCUUGCUAGAAUUCCGCCAUAAGAUUCGGGCCAUGGCUGAUAUUUGACAACAUUGUAUCCUACUAACUUAAUCUAGUAUUAGGGCUACUAAAUUACACGUACAACUGUACAAGACCAAAUCCACUCACUAUACAUAAACUAGCAACCUUAGUAAGGAUACAACCAUGCAAAACAUUCUAACAUAAUCUAAAUAUUCUCAGUACUCUCUUACUGUAUUGAUUAAAAGAUAUUGAACAUGUGCUUCUGUCUUUCAUCCAAUGCUACCUCAAACUCAAGUUUAACUAUUGAGUCAUUGACCUUCAUUAUUUAAUAUAUUAAUUUUUUAAUGGCAUCAGUUCUGUCACUAAUAUAUUAUGAAAAGUUUUAAAUAGCUACUUCUUUUAUGUUGACUGGUUUUGAAUUUGUUUAUUUCUCAUUUAUUAUUUUAUGAUAAAUUCUUCUUUCUUUUUGUAUAUUUUCUUUCAGAUUGUUUUGUGGUUGAUAUUAUGGUGGAAACCCAUCAGUGUGCUGGUCAUCUUGUCUAAGAUGUUCUUUGCAGGUUUAUCUGUUAUAGACCCUUAUGUUUCCCUUUUUUUAAUUUUUUGAGGGGAUGCUAGCUAGCAGAUUUUAUUAAUCAUAUGUUAACCAGGUUUUUCUAUGUGUGUAUGCAGGGGUCUCUUUGUUUGCAGCCCUUGGCUUUCUUCUCUAUGGUGGGAGGUAAUUGUCUGUUUCAAUUUUCAACUGUUUUUGAGGUAAUUUGAAUGAUGAAAUGAAUUAAUGCAUCUAGGUUAGAGAAUAACUCUAAGCAAGGAAUUAGGCCUUGUCUGAAGAGGUUUUUAUGUGAGUUCUUCAAAUCUAUGCUGCCUUUCUUAACCUCGUCAAAUCCAAAUAGUGCAAAAACCUGGGCACCAUACAUAAUUUAUUUUGUUGACUGGUCUGUCUGUUUUCAUUUCUCUUUCUUCUAUGAAACUUGACUGUCAUAAUUUUUAAUAGCGGCUGAAAUGGAACUCCAUAACCUUUUAAUGUGGAUGUACACUCUUCAUGCAAUAAAAUAAUUCAUUGUAAUUGUCAUAUGUGACAACUGAAGGCACUUUUUAUACUUUACUUUUAGAUUUAAGUUUUAACAUUUAAAUGUUAGUUAUGUUCUUGCUUAAUAUAUGGACAUCUUGUAUCCUAUUGUUGUCCUACCCAUUUUUGUACUCCUUUGUCCUUUCUGAUCAUGGAUUAUGACAGAUUAUUCUUGAUGCUUCAACGCUUUCCUGUCGAGUCCAAAGGUCGACGUAAGAAGCUGCAAGAGGUAUUCAAUUUUGUAUAUCUAUAUGGUCUUUCCCUCCCUCCUUCCGUUCCUUUUGCUCCUAGUUAAUCUCUUUCUGCUCUUUUUAUUGCAGGUUGGCUAUGUGACCACCAUAUGUUUUUCAUGCUUCCUUAUCAGAUGUGUUAUGGUUAGUCCCCAUUUCUUGAUAAACCUCAGUGAUCCUUGUUGCUUGGUUUUAAAGUGAGUUUGAUCACAUUUCACUUUGACAGAUGUGCUUCGAUGCAUUUGAUAAAGCUGCUGACCUCGAUGUCUUGGACCAUCCCAUUCUAAACUUCAUAUAUUACCUGGUGAGUUUGUCUAUUAUAUUCCUUUAUUAUGCACUUUUCUCGCCAUGCCCCUUGCUGUUGCCCAUUGUUUUUUUUCAAAGAUCAUUUCUGUAUCUUGGUUUAUUUUGGGCUCAUAUGGUUAAUCUUGUGUUGAACUUAGUGUUGAAAGGUCUGAGAUUCCCUGGACCCCCCCCCCCUCUCCCCUCACCUUAAGUUUGUCUGACUCCAAUUAUUUAUAUGCAUUGGUUUGAUUAACCUACCUAAAUUCAUCUUUUCUUUCUGGCGUGUGAUUUGGGGCUAGUUUUGAUUCUCAGUAUGAUUGUUUUCACCUGAAACCUAAGUGGCAAAGGAGUUGGAAUCAGAUAAUAAGUCUCUUUCAAAAUCCUCUAAUUCAUAUGGUUAAGAGAUAUAUCUUUAGCAGCUUUACAACAACAGAUGGAAUUUUUUCUCAGAAAAUCGCAAUUGAUUUUCUGAUGUCCAUUUAAAAGGAAUUUGAUUGCUCUUCUUACUUCGUAGGAUUAAUUAUUGUAAUUCUUCCCACACUUCUAGAAUUUACUUUACUCAUUAUAAAUACUUCACAUUUGGUUUCAAGAGCCAUUGGGAUUCGGGAAAGUGUUUGUUCUAUUUGUCUUAAGUCUCUCAACUACAAUUCCUCUUACCCUUCUCACCUUUUUGCUGCAGUUGGUGGAAAUAUUGCCUUCUUCUUUGGUCCUUUUCAUUUUGAGGAAGUUACCCCCCAAGCGGGGUAUCACACAAUAUCACCCGAUUCGCUGAAAGAAUAUUAACAUGUGGAGAAAACUUAGUCAGAAGGCAUCAUUAGUUGUUCUCUGUUUUCUUGGAUGUUUUUGCACUCCAAGUAUAAAUUCUAGAGGACAGAGAAAGUCAAGUCUUUUCUAUGUUGAAUGACAAAGCUAAUGUCUUACGUUUUAAAAGUUCUCCCUUAAGGUUUGUAGAUUUUGUAACGUGACAUUUUAUGGAUUGUCAAACGUGUUGGGCUGUAUUAUAUGUGAUAUUUGCGUUGUCUCUGGGAAUAUGUUGUUGUUUUUUCAGGUUCAGCAAUUCAACACAAAUAGCAAACCUUCUUGGGAGAAGGGGACACUGAUAUAUAUUGUAUAAUAGCUUUUAAGUCCUGUAACUGCUACAAGUUGGUGAAAUGUACUGUUUAUUUGAUCUUUCAGUCAGGUUCCCGAUAAUUCAUUCAAUUGUACCCCUACUUCCAUUUCUUCUGUGAAACACUUAAUUUUCUUUCUACAGGGGCUUGAAUUUCUGUUUAUUUAGAUAUAUUUCACUGAUGUCGGUCAAAAUUUAACCGUGACGAAGCGUAAUGAAAUUUUGAAGCCAUGUUUCUUGUUAUCCCUUAAAAUUUAACGGUGGCUAUGCAUAAUGAACAUUCCUUAGUUUAAUUGCUACCUCUUGACGAACCAUGUUAUACUCAACAUCAAUUAUCAAUUAUAACAUACUACAGGAAACAAAACAUUCAAAAUGCAGAACAUGCUCUAGGUAGAAACAGAAAGAUCAGAGAAUUCAUACCUGGGGUGAUUUGUGUUUGCUGGAGUUUGAUGAUGGCAUUAAUCUGCGUUUUUUGUUGAUGGACCUUGAGUUGAGGCUCUAGCUUGAUGAGGGAUCUGCAUUGUUGUGAAUUUGCAACUUUA